GACGAACGCUGGCGGCGUGCCUAAUACAUGCAAGUCGAGCGGACCCUUCGGGGUUAGCGGCGGACGGGUGAGUAACACGUGGGUAAUCUGCCCAACUGACUGGAAUAACGCCUGGAAACGGGUGCUAAUGCCGGAUAGGGCAACUGGUAGGCAUCUACCGGUUGGGAAAGGUGCAACUGCACCGCAGAUGGAGGAGCCCGCGGCGCAUUAGCUAGUUGGUGGGGUAACGGACCUACCAAGGCGACGAUGCGUAGCCGACCUGAGAGGGUGGACGGCCACACUGGGACUGAGACACGGCCCAGACUCCUACGGGAGGCAGCAGUAGGGAAUCUUCCGCAAUGGGCGCAAGCCUGACGGAGCAACGCCGCGUGAGCGAAGAAGGCCUUCGGGUUGUAAAGCUCAGUCACUCGGGAAGAGUGGACAGGGGAGUGGAAAGCCCCUGUCGAGACGGUACCGAGAGAGGAAGCCCCGGCUAACUACGUG
Molecule: ribosomal RNA, 483 nt
Filed under: uncultured bacterium
Lineage: Bacteria
Description: bacterial SSU rRNA
Rfam family: Bacterial small subunit ribosomal RNA
Source: RNAcentral